AUAAAUCAUUAAAUAUAAAAGAUUUGGCGGUAUUUUAAAUAAUUAGAGGAACCUGUAUAUUAAUUGAUAAUCCACAAUAAGAUAAACUUAAUUACUUAUGUAUUGCUGUUUUUAGAUUAUUAUUAAUUAAAUUUUUAUUUUUUUAUUUUAAUUUAAUUCAAGUCAAAAUAUAGUUUAAUUAAGAUAUGGGUUACAAUUUUUUUUUGAAAUUGGAUUUAAUAGUAA
This 225-nucleotide ribosomal RNA is filed under the name Polybia rejecta. RNAcentral's name for it is "partial small subunit ribosomal RNA". The record is from RNAcentral. RNAcentral also lists the same sequence under 1 other name. Lineage: Eukaryota; Metazoa; Arthropoda; Insecta; Hymenoptera; Vespidae.